Molecule: long non-coding RNA, 830 nt
Filed under: Parus major (Great Tit)
Lineage: Eukaryota; Metazoa; Chordata; Aves; Passeriformes; Paridae
Description: lncRNA (ENSPMJG00000000247.1)
Source: RNAcentral
GUCUUCUACAGAGUAAGAAGAUUGUUUCCAGCUGUGGAGCGGAGAAAACUUUCAGCUCAUUUUUUACAGCUCAUUUCUGACCUUUGUGUUGUGCUGGGCCUUUUUACCCCUCUGCCAGUUAUUGUCCUCAGUGUCACUUGAUUUUACCGCAUGGUUAAUGGCCUCAUUUUGGGAAAUUAUGUGGCAAUUUUGUACUGGAGUGCACAUUUUAUGUGUUACACACAUUCCAGAGCUGCAAAGAUAUAAUUUCACAAAGUCCCAAAACAUGUUAAAACCAUUAAUCUAGGAUUAACGGGUGAAGGGUGAGAGAAAAAGGAAUCAUUUAGUGAAGACUCUUUAAUCUCUUAUGUUCUGUGAUUAAACCCUAGAGAGAUGUUAGGAAGAAGAACCUGGACUGUUGUCUCUCAGCUUUUUGCCUCUGGAAUGAACAGCAUGGAACAAGAACCUGCCCAGAAAAUGGAUUAAUGUGUUAAAGGAUACAGAGGAAAACAGAGUUAACUCCAAAUUUCUGGGCUGAACUUUACCUGCAUGAAGGACAAUUGAUCACACAACUUUUGCCAGGCAGGACUGCACAAAGAUUUCUCCAACAAGCACAAGUUCACAGCAGGAAAGACAGAAGCUGCAUGGAAGCUCUGAUCAACACCCAAAAUUGGCAAAUCUGCCAAAAAGACAGUCCAGCCUUCAGUUCUGACCUGACAAAAACCCUCCCCACUGCAGACUGCUCUGCUGAUAAGUCUGCAAUGAAGGUCACAGUGAUGUGGGAGCUCAGCUACAGCUGCUUCGUGGGCCAGCACUGUCCAACAAGAGCACCAGGCUGGUCAGAGAUUUCC